This 630-nucleotide ribosomal RNA is filed under the name Tricholoma aff. orirubens TRTC156960. RNAcentral's name for it is "eukaryotic LSU rRNA". The stretch from base 269 to 422 matches the Rfam family "5.8S ribosomal RNA". Lineage: Eukaryota; Fungi; Basidiomycota; Agaricomycetes; Agaricales; Tricholomataceae. The record is from RNAcentral.
CAUUAUUGAAUAAUUAGGUUAAGUUGUUGCUGGCUCUUAGGAGCAAUGUGCACACUUGACUUCAAUUUAUUUUACCACCUGUGCACUUUGUGUAGACUUGGAAAAAGUGUAUUGCUGAGUUAUCCCAAUAACUUGGUUACUGAGGUCUGCUGCUUGAAAGCUCAGCUUUCCUUGACAUUUAUUUCAAGUCUAUGUAUUUUUAUAUAUACACCUAUAGUAUGUUAAUAGAAUGUAUUGAUGGGCAUGAAAUGGCCUAUAAAUCYAAUACAACUUUCAACAACGGAUCUCUUGGCUCUCGCAUCGAUGAAGAACGCAGCGAAAUGCGAUAAGUAAUGUGAAUUGCAGAAUUCAGUGAAUCAUCGAAUCUUUGAACGCACCUUGCGCUCCUUGGUAUUCCGAGGAGCAUGCCUGUUUGAGUGUCAUGAAAUUCUCAACCUUACAAAGUUUUUGAUUUUGUCUGGCUUGGAUUGUGGGAGUUACUGCUGGCUUAUCUCAAGCUGGCUCUCCUUAAAUGUAUUAGCAGAACCAUAAGUUGGCUCUUUAGUGUGAUAAUUAUCUAYGCUAUGUGAGUGACUUGUCUUGGAUCAGCUUCUAAUUGUCUUUAACCAAGACUUUAUGACCAUUUGACCU